UUACAGGUUCCUGAAAGAGAAAUGUCACAGAGAAGCUGGUUUAGUCACCUCCCCCCAUUCCAGGUAGUCCGGAUGGGCUACUGUCAUAGAGGGACAGUGCAGGUGGAAGCCGGUGUCAUCUGGGCGACCUUCUGUUAUAAGAAAUGGAGUGGAACCCACAUCUUCCUUUCUGUUCGCUGUCAAGAGAUGGACAAUUUUUUUUAACAGUCGGCACAAAAAAUAUUGCCAUGUUUGCCUGUGUGUCGUGAGACCCUGUUUGUGAAAUACGUCCUGCUGAGAUAUGUCAAUAAAAUGUCGCAC
Long non-coding RNA from Pomacea canaliculata, 300 nucleotides. RefSeq lists it as uncharacterized. The transcript is spliced from 2 exons. Lineage: Eukaryota; Metazoa; Mollusca; Gastropoda; Architaenioglossa; Ampullariidae. The record is from RefSeq and is a predicted model, not a curated record.